RNAcentral lists this ribosomal RNA (440 nucleotides) under uncultured bacterium. RNAcentral's name for it is "partial 16S ribosomal RNA". It matches the Rfam family "Bacterial small subunit ribosomal RNA", at positions 338 to 795 of the family's 1533-position model. The record is from RNAcentral.
CCUACGGGUGGCAGCAGUGGGGAAUAUUGCACAAUGGGGGAAACCCUGAUGCAGCAACGCCGCGUGAAGGAAGACGGUUUUCGGAUUGUAAACUUCUGUUCUUAGUGAAGAAUAAUGACGGUAGCUAAGGAGCAAGCCACGGCUAACUACGUGCCAGCAGCCGCGGUAAUACGGAGGAUGCGAGCGUUAUCCGGAUUUAUUGGGUUUAAAGGGUGCGUAGGCGGAUCGUUAAGUCAGUGGUCAAAUUGAGGGGCUCAACCCCUUCCCGCCAUUGAAACUGGCGCUCUUGAGUGGAAGAGAAGUAUGCGGAAUGCGUGGUGUAGCGGUGAAAUGCAUAGAUAUCACGCAGAACCCCGAUUGCGAAGGCAGCAUGCCGGCUUCCGACUGACGCUGAAGCACGAAAGCGUGGGGAUCGAACAGGAUUAGAUACCCCGGUAGUC